GCCAGGCGUGGUGGCGCGCGCCUGUAAUCCCAGCUACUCAGGAGGCUGAGGCAGGAGAAUCAUUUGAACUCAGGAGGCAGAGGUUGCAGUGACCCAAGAUCAGGCCACUGCACUCUACCCUGGGUGACAGAGCGAGACUCUGUCUCAA
Molecule: non-coding RNA, 148 nt
Filed under: Nomascus leucogenys (northern white-cheeked gibbon)
Lineage: Eukaryota; Metazoa; Chordata; Mammalia; Primates; Hylobatidae
Source: Rfam by way of RNAcentral